Molecule: non-coding RNA, 1378 nt
Organism: Pelobates cultripes (western spadefoot toad)
Lineage: Eukaryota; Metazoa; Chordata; Amphibia; Anura; Pelobatidae
Source: the annotation of a GenBank genome assembly
UUUUUUUUUUAAUUCUUUAUUUUUGUUGUGCAUAAUAUAACAAAAUGCACUGCCACAAAGCAGGAGCAAGCACAAUAAGAUCAACAGAGCAAGACAUAAGCAUGGCAUUAAAAUACCAGCACUUUUUUUAUUUUUUAAAGAAACAUCAAAAUUUAGGCUAGUAUACUGCACAACUGUAGAAAAAGGGAUGCUAUACUGUAUAAUGUAGUCACAAUGUAUUAGUACAUAAGCUAUACUGCACUGUCAAGUGAGUUAUCACAGCUAGUUAACGGUAUAUAAGAAAGGUGCAACAUAAACAAUGACCUCUCAGUUAUGCAUUGCUAAACAACAUGAGGGAAUCCACCAGGAGACAUCUAGAAUAUAUGCCAGUGGUAAAUGGCAGGCCACUGUGAGACUACAAAAUUAUGCUGUGUUAGCGAAGUGAUAAAAACAAAAAGGUAGGCAUCUGAUAGCAAACGGUAAAAGAAAACUAACACUCUAGCAUAGAACCACUGCCAGGUACAUGCUUAAUGGUAAAUAAUGUCAACCGUUCAUCCAAUGCCGCAAGCAUGCCUCAACUGGGAACCGGUACUGCAGUUUUCCAUGAGGUGCCCGGUGUCACUGCUCCAGUAUCCUCUUGGAUUUAAGAGACCUGUCAGACCACGGAGAUUUAUAAAGCAUUGUUCCAGCCCCUCUGCUUCCCAUGCCAGCCCAACUGACGAGCCGAUGCCUGGUAGCAGCUGGACCCUCCAGCUCCUGUGGCAUAGUUGGCUUCUCAAUUGUUCUCCAUUUUGCAUGUAGAUUCCCCAGGGUGUGGACGGCUGACGGGCGUUGUGUCUAUGGUGGCUCUCAGCCCAGAAAGUUAGCAUUGCGCCGGGACACUGGCAGGGGCCUUCUCUGCUAAAGGUACGGUGAGUAACAGUGCUUCCCAACGGGACUCCAAUCAACUCCAGAAAGCUACACAAACCGCAUCAAGUGUUGCUUGGAAUCUGACUACCCAUUUGCCAGUGGGGAGAUUCGUCGUUGUGGUGGCCAUUUUAACUGCGCCACACGGUUUUGCAGAAUUAGUCACAGUGGUUGGGAACCAGGAUAACCCCAACCGAUCCAGAGGGGGGGCAAGCGAAGCAGGCAAUUCACGCUUUGUAUUCGCCAGCAGGUCUAGACUGGGAGAUCGGCCGUUUCUCCUUUCUAGGGACCACUUCAGACGGUAUAGUUUUGAAGCGUAAAUAUCUGGAAGUGAGGCUCCAAACAGGCACAUCAAAGUUCCAUUGCAUACAGGAAUAGGUUAGAAAGUGUUUAGGAGUUGUUUGAAAAGUUAAUCCCAUUUCAAAAGUUGAUUUUGCAGGUUUUUUGUGAAGAGCUUACAAUCAACAUGUCCGGCUGCCAUGCUGGUCAGGCC